RNAcentral lists this ribosomal RNA (424 nucleotides) under Verrucomicrobiota bacterium. RNAcentral's name for it is "Verrucomicrobia bacterium partial 16S ribosomal RNA". It matches the Rfam family "Bacterial small subunit ribosomal RNA", at positions 355 to 776 of the family's 1533-position model. Lineage: Bacteria; Pseudomonadati; Verrucomicrobiota. The record is from RNAcentral.
UGAGGAAUAUUGGUCAAUGGGCGAGAGCCUGAACCAGCCAAGUAGCGUGUAGGAUGACGGCCCUAUGGGUUGUAAACUGCUUUUAUAUGGGAAUAAAGUGAGGGACGUGUCCCUUAUUGCAUGUACCAUAUGAAUAAGGACCGGCUAAUUCCGUGCCAGCAGCCGCGGUAAUACGGAAGGUCCAGGCGUUAUCCGGAUUUAUUGGGUUUAAAGGGAGCGUAGGCUGUUUGUUAAGCGUGUUGUGAAAUGUAAGAGCUCAACUUUUAGAUUGCAGCGCGAACUGGCAGACUUGAGUGCGCACAACGUAGGCGGAAUUCAUGGUGUGGCGGUGAAAUGCUUAGAUAUCAUGACGAACUCCGAUUGCGAAGGCAGCUUACGGGGGCGCAACUAACGCUAAAGCUCGAAGGUGCGGGUAUCGAACAGG